GAUGAACGUUGGCGGCGUGCCUAAUACAUGCAAGUCGAGCGAACAGACGAGGAGCUUGCUCCUCUGACGUUAGCGGCGGACGGGUGAGUAACACGUGGAUAACCUACCUAUAAGACUGGGAUAACUUCGGGAAACCGGAGCUAAUACCGGAUAAUAUAUUGAACCGCAUGGUUCAAUAGUGAAAGACGGUUUUGCUGUCACUUAUAGAUGGAUCCGCGCCGCAUUAGCUAGUUGGUAAGGUAACGGCUUACCAAGGCAACGAUGCGUAGCCGACCUGAGAGGGUGAUCAGCCACACUGGAACUGAGACACGGUCCAGACUCCUACGGGAGGCAGCAGUAGGGAAUCUUCCGCAAUGGGCGAAAGCCUGACGGAGCAACGCCGCGUGAGUGAUGAAGGUCUUCGGAUCGUAAAACUCUGUUAUUAGGGAAGAACAAAUGUGUAAGUAACUAUGCACGUCUUGACGGUACCUAAUCAGAAAGCCACGGCUAACUACGUG
RNAcentral lists this ribosomal RNA (497 nucleotides) under uncultured bacterium. Its description in RNAcentral is "partial 16S ribosomal RNA". It matches the Rfam family "Bacterial small subunit ribosomal RNA", at positions 28 to 507 of the family's 1533-position model. The record is from RNAcentral.